GUCAAAAUGAUUGGGUUAAAUGUUCUCCUUGAACUAGGGUCACUACAUCUUCCUGAUUGGUCAGAAGGCCAUGGGCCAUGAGCAAGGCUGGUCCUGAGCGCAUUGCAUUCUGGUGCCAUAAAGAGGGACUCUUGGCUAGCAAUCUAUCAUAUUUAUAUUUAAACCUGUUCUCCAGUAAUAGAAAUUCUGCCUUCAGAUGCUACCUUUUUGAGCUUUUCCCCAGUGAGAAAUACAGCAGAGAAUAUAAGGAUAGAGUUGGAUGCUAACACAUAAGAGUUGGAGUCAAGAAGCACCAGGAUCAGGCAGCUAGGGGCUCAGUGGAUAAAGAGUAAAGCCUGGCAACAGAAAGUCUGGUGUUCACAGCUUCAGACUUUUUCUAGCUAUGUGAACUGGGAAAGGCACUUAACUUGUUCAGCCAUUACCACUCUUCUUUCUGCAUUGAAACCAAUAUCUAGUAUUGUUUCUAAGAAAGAAGGUAAGAGUUUUAAGAAAGAAGCAACCAAGAUGGACUAUGAUUUCUGAAAAUAAAGAAGAAACCACCUAUGGAUUCA
This 551-nucleotide long non-coding RNA is filed under the name Monodelphis domestica (gray short-tailed opossum). RNAcentral describes it as "lncRNA (ENSMODG00000040750.1)". Lineage: Eukaryota; Metazoa; Chordata; Mammalia; Didelphimorphia; Didelphidae. The record is from RNAcentral.